UGGGGAAUUUUGGACAAUGGGCGCAAGCCUGAUCCAGCCAUGCCGCGUGUCUGAAGAAGGCCUUCGGGUUGUAAAGGACUUUUGUACAGGAAGAAAAAGUUGUGGCUAAUACCCAUGACUGAUGACGGUACCGUAAGAAUAAGCACCGGCUAACUACGUGCCAGCAGCCGCGGUAAUACGUAGGGUGCGAGCGUUAAUCGGAAUUACUGGGCGUAAAGCGGGCGCAGACGGUUAUUUAAGCAGGAUGUGAAAUCCCCGGGCUCAACCUGGGAACUGCGUUCUGAACUGGAUAGCUAGAGUGUGUCAGAGGGGGGUAGAAUUCCACGUGUAGCAGUGAAAUGCGUAGAGAUGUGGAGGAAUACCGAUGGCGAAGGCAGCCCCCUGGGAUAACACUGACGUUCAUGCCCGAAAGCGUGGGUAGCAAACAG
RNAcentral lists this ribosomal RNA (428 nucleotides) under uncultured bacterium. RNAcentral's name for it is "bacterial SSU rRNA". It matches the Rfam family "Bacterial small subunit ribosomal RNA", at positions 355 to 775 of the family's 1533-position model. The record is from RNAcentral.